Molecule: ribosomal RNA, 403 nt
Filed under: bacterium
Lineage: Bacteria
Description: partial 16S ribosomal RNA
Rfam family: Bacterial small subunit ribosomal RNA
Source: RNAcentral
UGGGGAAUAUUGCACAAUGGAGGGAACUCUGAUGCAGCGACGCCGCGUGAACGAAGAAGGCUUUCGAGUCGUAAAGUUCUUUUAUAUGGGAAGAUAAUGACGGUACCAUAAGAAGAAGCCCCGGCUAACUACGUGCCAGCAGCCGCGGUAAUACGUAGGGGGCUAGCGUUGUCCGGAAUCACUGGGCGUAAAGGGUUCGCAGGCGGAAAUGCAAGUCAGGUGUAAAAGGCAGUAGCUUAACUACUGUAAGCAUUUGAAACUGCAUAUCUUGAGAAGAGUAGAGGUAAGUGGAAUUUUUAGUGUAGCGGUGGAAUGCGUAGAUAUUAAAAAGAAUACCGGUGGCGAAGGCGACUUACUGGGCUCAUUCUGACGCUGAGGAACGAAAGCGUGGGUAGCAAACAGG